RNAcentral lists this ribosomal RNA (1385 nucleotides) under metagenome. RNAcentral describes it as "bacterial LSU rRNA". It matches the Rfam family "Bacterial large subunit ribosomal RNA", at positions 1513 to 2915 of the family's 2925-position model. The record is from RNAcentral.
UAAGGGCGUAGGCGAUGAGAGAGGCAGGCAAAUCCACCUUUCGAGCUGAAACCUGAUAGUAUGGAGUCCCCCUCGGGGGAGUCCAACAGCGCCGGUAAUCAUACUCCCGAGAAAAUCCGCUAAGCAUAACCUUCAUGGUACCCGUACCGCAAACCGACACAGGUAGACGGGUAGAACAUACUAAGGCAUUGAGAGAUUCAUGGUUAAGGAACUAGGCAAACUGACCCUGUAACUUCGGGAUAAAGGGUCCUCAUAGCGAUAUGAGGCGCAGAGAAUAGGUCCAGGCAACUGUUUAACAAAAACACAGGGCUGUGCGAACACGAGAGUUGAAGUAUACAGCCUGACACCUGCCCGGUGCCGGAAGGUUAAGAGGAGAGGUCAUCCUUCGGGUGAAGCCUUGAAUUGAAGCCCCGGUAAACGGCGGCCGUAACAAUAACGGUCCUAAGGUAGCGAAAUUCCUUGUCGGGUAAGUUCCGACCUGCACGAAUGGUGUAAUGAUCCGGACGCUGUCCCAACCAUGAUCUCAGUGAAAUUGUAGUAUCGGUGAAGAUGCCGAUUACCCGCGAUGGGACGAAAAGACCCCGUGAACCUUUACUACAGCUUAGCAUUGACCUUGGUCAUCCGAUGUGUAGGAUAGGCCGGAGGCUUAGAAGCGCGCACGCCAGUGUGUGUGGAGCCAUCCUUGAAAUACGGCCCUUUGGCUGUCUGAGGUCUAACGCGCGGUUGCGCGGACACUGCUUGGUGGGUAGUUUGACUGGGGUGGUCGCCUCCAAAAGCGUAACGGAGGCUUCCAAAGGUGCCCUCGGGCCGAUUGGUAACCGGCCUUUAAGAGUGCAAUGGCAUAAGGGCGCUUGACUGGGAGGCAGACAUGUCGAGCAGGCAGGAAACUGGGGCAUAGUGAUCCGGUGCAAGUGUAUGGAAACUGCAUCGCUCAAAGGAUAAAAGGUACUCCGGGGAUAACAGGCUGAUCCCCCCCAAGAGCUCAUAUCGACGGGGUGGUUUGGCACCUCGAUGUCGGCUCGUCACUUCCUGGGGCUGGAGAAGGUCCCAAGGGUUGGGCUGUUCGCCCAUUAAAGUGGCACGCGAGCUGGGUUCAGAACGUCGUGAGACAGUUCGGUCUCUAUCUAUCGUGGGCGCAGGAGUUUUGCGUGGUGCCGUCACUAGUACGAGAGGACCGUGAUGGACAGACCUCCGGUUUACCGGUUGUGCCGCCAGGUGCACCGCCGGGUAUCUGAGUCUGGUAUGGAUAAGCGCUGAAAGCAUCUAAGCGCGAAGCCUUCCGCAAGAUGAGAACUCCCUAGAGGGUCGUCCGAGACGAGGACGUUGAUAGGGUGCAGGUGUAAAGACGGCGACGUCAAAGCCGAGCACUACUAAUUGCUCAAAAC